UCAGUCUUCAGAUGCACAGUUGGUAAACAGUGCUGCAUGUCGUCCAGUGAGAGAAAGCGUACAGUGGAUAGCCUCAGAAUUUUGACAGAUUCUGCGAGAAAAGAGCCUAGUAUCUGUCCAUUCUUAAAAAUAAUGGACAGCAAUUGUCAACUUAUUGGACACCUACAGGUAGGCCUAACCUUUUCACUACAAGUUGACUUUCUUCUAUAUAAAAGCCUAAAAAGACAAAGGAUUGCGUAACAAAAAUGUUUUAAUUGAACUUAUUGCAUUGCGUACCAAUAACAAACUUAUAUAGAUCUAGAUCUAGUCCUAUUACCCGACUAAACCACAUGAUAUUGAUAAGCAAAGACGAAAAUAAAAACACGAUAUAAUGGGACACAGUAUACAGUGAGAAGCGAGUAUAUAAUUUAUUAUUCGGACACAAAUCAUUAUUCGAGAACAAAUAAUACAAAACUUCAAGUAGCUGACAACCGAGCCCCUGUGAACCGAAUAUCUCUCACGGGGGGGUUAUAAACUAUCAAACGAAUGUAUGUAUGAAGAGGAAUAUUAUACCACAAUGGACUGCUAUGACGUAGUGGGACAUAUCUACAUGAUAAUAUUAGAAGUAUUCUCUUCAAGUUCAACUUCUCGUCUUUAACUGAACACGGUUCGACUU
Long non-coding RNA from Ostrea edulis (European flat oyster), 655 nucleotides. RefSeq lists it as uncharacterized. The record is from RefSeq and is a predicted model, not a curated record. The transcript is spliced from 2 exons. NCBI's taxonomy places the organism in Eukaryota, Metazoa, Mollusca, Bivalvia, Ostreida, Ostreidae.